This is a long non-coding RNA of Triticum aestivum (bread wheat), 1277 nucleotides long. RefSeq lists it as uncharacterized. NCBI's taxonomy places the organism in Eukaryota, Viridiplantae, Streptophyta, Magnoliopsida, Poales, Poaceae. The transcript has 3 exons. The record is from RefSeq and is a predicted model, not a curated record.
AGAUAAUGUCGAACUGGGCAUGAUGAACUUGAAGCAAACGACAAUGCCACGGAUACAAUUAUUCGACGGGGAGACCCUGAAAUGGAUGAUCCUCGUGUGCUCAGCAAGAAAGCUAGGGAGAACAAUCUUCAUAGUCCCUGAGGUAACAGCUAUGUAUGUUUAACCACAACUAUGAUAGCGCGACACAUACUAAACUACGCGCAACCUUAUGCAGGCAAGACACUGGAAUGCCAUGUGCUACACAUGGCACAACUGGCUGAACGAGAAACAUGGCAAGAAGAAAGCAAUGGAGCACAAGGCUGAAGGCUCAGCAAAUCAGUAUGCACUCGUCAGUCAUAACCCAGAGACCACUCGACGGGGAGAGUAUACCAAUGCGGACACAAGCAACCUUCCAUAGACACAUAAAAGCAGCAUCAAAUUCAGCCCCGGCGACUACGCUCGCUGGAUCCAGAUGCAAAACCCAGAGCUGGCCGCUUCUCCAUUAGGAUGGGCACUUAAAGAGCACAACGCAAAGUGUGUGCAUAUCGCAAAUGAAAUGAGAAGGAACAUUGCAAAUGAGAACAUUCAAUUCACAAAAAAACUGCUAUAGGUGUACAUUGUCAAACCAAAUUUGACAACACCCGCACCCAAUGCAUCUUAUCGCGCUGUCAAACCCGCACCAGGCGUCAGUGGUGCAGGUUCACACAACGCAGAAGCACCGAGCAGACUCGCACAUCAAAUAGUUGGACGAAGGCUGGAGUUGUCAUCUCCAUCCUUGACGCCCGUUGAACGCGCCAAACCAGUGGUCUUGACCACCACCGACCAAUUGUCCACAACACCUACUAGGGGCCAAAAGCGAGCAAGGGCAGAUGACGCGCCAGGUAAUAGGUUGCCAAUGUUUUCCUCCAUUGAUAAUAUGAAGUUCUCAUAGGUUGUCCAUGCAAGUACAUUAGGGCAAUAAAAUCACCAAUGCUCGCAGACGCACCAUCAUUCGAAUUGGACAUAGACAGACACAACGAAGCCAGUACGCCUGUUAAGAAGGAUGGAAAGGCCACUCUGAUUUCACCUACCUUGGCGACGAAGACACACUCAGACCACCUAGUGGGCCAGCUAAUGAUGCUUAACGAUGAGAUUGGAGACAACAAGGGACAUAUUGUCUUUGGUCAAGUCAACAACAUGGCUGUAACAAAGAUCAAAGCUACCCACACCGGUUUCACCAAAGACCCAUGGUUGAGCAACCGUCUGGUGCGCACACACGGGCCGGGCGUCCUAAAAGCCAUCAGAGAAUGGAUGCGAUC